GGAUCCAGACUUUGAUUCUGGCUCAGGAUGAACGCUGGCGGCAUGCCUAAGACGUGCAAGUCGAACGAAGAAGCCCAAUGAAGAUUGAGUGCUUGCACGAGAUUGGAACUGGACACUUCUUAGUGGCAGACGGGUGAGUAACACGUGGGUAAUCUACCUCAGAGACUGGGAUAACGUUUGGAAACGAACGCUAAUACCGGAUAAAUCAUAUUUGGAUAACCAGAUAUGCUAAAAGGAGCUACGGCUUCACUUUGAGAUGAGCUUGCGGUGUAUUAGCUAGUUGGUGAGGUAAUGGCUCACCAAGGCAACGAUGCAUAUCCGAGCUGAGAGGCUGAUCGGACACACUGGGACUGAGACACGGCCCAGACUCCUACGGGAGACAGCAGUUAGGAAUAUUCGUCAAUGGAGGAAACUCUGAACGAGCAAUGCCGCGUGAGUGAUGAAGGUCUUACAGAUUGUAAAACUCUGUUGUAAAGGAAGAAAUCUUAUUAUAGGAAAUGAUAAUAAGUUGACGGUACUUUUCCAGAAAGCCCCGGCUAACUACGUGCCAGCAGCCGCGGUAAUACGUAGGGGGCGAGCGUUAUCCGGAUUUAUUGGGCGUAAAGCGUGUGUAGGCGGUUUAUUAAGUCUAAGAUUAAAGCCCGAGGCUUAACCUCGGUUUGUUUUAGAAACUGGUAGACUUGAGUGUGGUAGAGGCAAGUGGAAUUUCUAGUGUAGCGGUUAAAUGCGUAGAUAUUAGAAGGAACACCAGUGGCGAAGGCGGCUUGCUGGGCCAUUACUGACGCUGAGACACGAAAGCGUGGGGAGCAAAUAGGAUUAGAUACCCUAGUAGUCCACGCUGUAAACGAUGAGUACUAAGUGUC
This 863-nucleotide ribosomal RNA is filed under the name uncultured bacterium. RNAcentral describes it as "bacterial SSU rRNA". It matches the Rfam family "Bacterial small subunit ribosomal RNA", at positions 1 to 824 of the family's 1533-position model. The record is from RNAcentral.